GAUGAGCGCUGGCGGCGUGCCUAAUACAUGCAAGUCGAGCGAACGGACGAGAAGCUUGCUUCUCUGAUGUUAGCGGCGGACGGGUAAGUAACACGUGGAUAACCUACCUAUAAGACUGGGAUAACUUCGGGAAACCGGAGCUAAUACCGGAUAAUAUUUUGAACCGCAUGGUUCAAAAGUGAAAGACGGUCUUGCUGUCACUUAUAGAUGGAUCCGCGCUGCAUUAGCUAGUUGGUAAGGUAACGGCUUACCAAGGCAACGAUGCAUAGCCGACCUGAGAGGGUGAUCGGCCACACUGGAACUGAGACACGGUCCAGACUCCUACGGGAGGCAGCAGUAGGGAAUCUUCCGCAAUGGGCGAAAGCCUGACGGAGCAACGCCGCGUGAGUGAUGAAGAUCUUCGGAUCGUAAAACUCUGUUAUUAGGGAAGAACAUAUGUGUAAGUAACUGUGCACAUCUUGACGGUACCUAAUCAGAAAGCCACGGCUAACUACGUG
This 497-nucleotide ribosomal RNA is filed under the name uncultured bacterium. RNAcentral describes it as "partial 16S ribosomal RNA". It matches the Rfam family "Bacterial small subunit ribosomal RNA", at positions 28 to 507 of the family's 1533-position model. The record is from RNAcentral.